Molecule: ribosomal RNA, 860 nt
Filed under: Amolops daiyunensis (Daiyun torrent frog)
Lineage: Eukaryota; Metazoa; Chordata; Amphibia; Anura; Ranidae
Description: partial 16S rRNA
Rfam family: Bacterial large subunit ribosomal RNA
Source: RNAcentral
UAAAGCUCAACUAUACAUUUACCUUAAAUUUCAAAAUCUAUCUUCAACCCUUAAUUACUACUGAACUAUUUUAUAUUCUUAUAAAAAAAAUUAUGCUAGAACUAGUAACAAGAAUUAGCCCUUCUCCAAAAUGUAAGCUUAAGCCAAAAUGGACAUCCCAUCGGCAAUUAACGCAAAUGUAAUUAUUAUAGCAACAUAUACUAGCAAACCCUAUAACUACUAGCGUCGACCUAACACCAGAACAUUUCAGGAAAGAUUAAAAGAGAAAGAAGGAACUCGGCAAAUCUCAGCCCCGCCUGUUUACCAAAAACAUCGCCUCUUGCUUAAACAUAAGAGGUCCAGCCUGCCCAGUGAUAUAAUUCAACGGCCGCGGUACCCUAACCGUGCGAAGGUAGCAUAAUCACUUGUUCUUUAAAUAAGGACUUGUAUCAACGGCAUCACGAGGACUGUACUGUCUCCUUUCUCCAAUCAGUGAAACUGAUCUCCCCGUGAAGAAGCGGGGAUUAACCUAUAAGACGAGAAGACCCCAUGGAGCUUAAAGCCCACACAACUCUAUGCACUUAAAUCAAUACAGCCCAAGAAACCUGCAAACGGCUUUAGGUUGGGGGGACCGCGGAGUAAAAACUAACCUCCACGACAAACGGGCCUACGCCCUUAUCCAAGAAUGACAAUUCUAAGAAUCAAUAAACUGAUGUUUAAUGACCCGAUUAUUCGAUCAACGAACCAAGUUACCCUGGGGAUAACAGCGCAAUCUACUUCAAGAGCCCCUAUCAACAAGUAGGUUUACGACCUCGAUGUUGGAUCAGGGUAUCCUAGUGGUGCAGCCGCUACUAAAGGUUCGUUUGUUCAACGAUUAAAAC